This 441-nucleotide long non-coding RNA is filed under the name Carica papaya (papaya). Its description in RNAcentral is "long non-coding RNA (CPAP_LNC007158)". Lineage: Eukaryota; Viridiplantae; Streptophyta; Magnoliopsida; Brassicales; Caricaceae. The record is from RNAcentral.
UUGUUAAAUUGAGAAACCAGGAUAUGAUUGCAUUCCCUGAUGCAUAUUUGUUUGUUUAUGUGAUUACGGUUGAAUUGGAAAAUGGAGACUAAGGAAAAAAGAAAAAUUAUGUGAUUAAGUGAAUGGAUGAAACGACAGCCCUAUUGGAUAUUCUGGGAGAUGGUGGACAGACCGGGUACAAUAGGGAACCCUACCGUGAACGUUGUCUCAUAUCGGACGGGGUAUGGGGACGACCCAUUUCACCCUCAUACCAGAUGGGGUAUUGAGGUUUAGUAAUUUGUUGCUCAUACCGGAUGGGGUAUGGGGACAACCUGUUAAUUGAGAAUGUUAAAGGAAAGGGUUCACGCGUAGUGGAGACAUCUCUAUGAACCCCCACAGAUACCAGCAGGCUGAUGGAAAGGGACAGUUGUUAUUUAAUUUAUUAAAUAUGGAUUUAUAAUG